CCCUUAGAUGUUCUGAACCGCACACGUGUUACACUGAUGCAUUCAACGAGCUUUACCUUGGCCGAGAGGCCUGGGAAAUCUUUUUAGCAUGCAUCGUGAUAGGGAUUGAUUAUUGCAAUUAUUAAUCAUGAACGAGGAAUUCCUAGUAAACGCAUUUCAUCAAAAUGCAUUGAUUACGUCCCUGCCCUUUGUACACACCGCCCGUCGCACCUACCGAUUGAGUGGUCCGGUGAAGUCUCGAGAUUGUGGCAAUCUCCUUUAUUGGAGUUUGACUGCGAGAACUUGCCUAAACCUUAUCACUUAGAGGAAGGUGAAGUCGUAACA
RNAcentral lists this ribosomal RNA (324 nucleotides) under uncultured eukaryote. Its description in RNAcentral is "partial 18S ribosomal RNA". It matches the Rfam family "Eukaryotic small subunit ribosomal RNA", at positions 1470 to 1796 of the family's 1831-position model. The record is from RNAcentral.